This 67-nucleotide transfer RNA is filed under the name Clostridioides difficile. It matches the Rfam family "tRNA". From Rfam's summary of the family: Transfer RNA (tRNA) molecules are approximately 80 nucleotides in length. Their secondary structure includes four short double-helical elements and three loops (D, anti-codon, and T loops). Further hydrogen bonds mediate the characteristic L-shaped molecular structure. tRNAs have two regions of fundamental functional importance: the anti-codon, which is responsible for specific mRNA codon recognition, and the 3' end, to which the tRNAs corresponding amino acid is attached (by aminoacyl-tRNA synthetases). tRNAs cope with the degeneracy of the genetic code in two manners: having more than one tRNA (with a specific anti-codon) for a particular amino acid; and 'wobble' base-pairing, i.e. permitting non-standard base-pairing at the 3rd anti-codon position. Lineage: Bacteria; Bacillati; Bacillota; Clostridia; Peptostreptococcales; Peptostreptococcaceae. The record is from RNAcentral. RNAcentral also lists the same sequence under 3 other names.
CGGGUGUAGCUCAAUGGUAGAGUUCUGGCCUUCCAAGCCAGCUGUGAGGGUUCGAUCCCCUUCACCC